RNAcentral lists this ribosomal RNA (414 nucleotides) under uncultured bacterium. RNAcentral describes it as "bacterial SSU rRNA". It matches the Rfam family "Bacterial small subunit ribosomal RNA", at positions 11 to 410 of the family's 1533-position model. The record is from RNAcentral.
GUUUGAUCCUGGCUCAGAGCGAACGUUAGCGGCAGGCUUAACACAUGCAAGUCGAGCGAGAAAGGGGCUUCGGCUCCGAGUAAAGCGGCGGACGGGUGCGUAACACGUGGAUAAUCUGCCUCGUGGCGGGGGACAACAGUCCGAAAGGACUGCUAAUACCGCAUGUCAGGUCGGAAACUCCGGUUUCUGACGAAAAAGAGGGCGCCCGCAAGGGGCUCUCACCACGAGAUGAGUCCGCGUCCCAUCAGCUAGUUGGCGGUGUAAUAGACCACCAAGGCUUAGACGGGUAGCUGGUCUGAGAGGAUGACCAGCCACACUGGGACUGAGACACGGCCCAGACUCCUACGGGAGGCAGCAGUGGGGAAUAUUGGACAAUGGGCGAAAGCCUGAUCCAGCCAUGCCGCGUGAGUGAUG